UCCAUAUAAUAGACCGAAAAUCAGCAUAUCAGCUUUGCAUCCGUGCGAAGAAGGGCCGGAUCGCUAAUUGUACUUUAUAAACCUUUGUCUUUAAUCACUCUAUCUCAAAAAAAACGCAUAAAAAUGCGUUGCGUAGUUUUAAAGAAUUAAGCGUACAUAGGGAUAUAGGGACAGAGAAAGCGUGGUGUUGGCCGUCAGCUGCGCAGAGUGCAAGAGGGCGCUCAGCUCACAGCUCGCGUCCGACACUCACCCACCGCACGCCACUCGUUACUCACUCAUCAAUGAAAUUAUUGGCGUGACAUCAUCGCAGUCAUUGUGCAAGACGAGAGAUACGCACGCCAACCGCUCAAGUUCACCACACGACAACACUAAUCUGCCUAAUGGCUUUAAAACUGCGAUCCCAUGGAAAAGAUAUUUCUAGGCUAUAUAUAAUAUGGGCAUGGACAGAAAUUCCCAUAGGACAUGGGUGAAAGCCUGCAACAUAUUGGAGUUCACAUGCAGCUGAAUAUCUUACAGGGUGGACUCAAUUCUAAAUCCAAUCCAGUACCAGAUAACCUGAUAUCUGUUGUACAAUUUACACAAGGCAUGUUGGCGAUGCAAACACUCAGUACAAACCAGUUCCAUAAGGAAGAAUUUGAUCUGCUGUAAGGUGAUCCUACUAACUUACAUUUCAUACACAGCUUUCUUUAACACAAUUGGUGCAUGACAGAUUCUGCACAGUGAAUCUACUUGCACGCACAAGCAUGUUCACAGCACACACAUUCCUUGUCACAAAUACUUAAUAGUUCAUUCAGAGUAUCACACAAAUGAUGUAAACAUUAACUACAACGAA
Long non-coding RNA from Helicoverpa armigera (cotton bollworm), 832 nucleotides. RefSeq lists it as uncharacterized. NCBI's taxonomy places the organism in Eukaryota, Metazoa, Arthropoda, Insecta, Lepidoptera, Noctuidae. The transcript has 3 exons. The record is from RefSeq and is a predicted model, not a curated record.